Molecule: ribosomal RNA, 438 nt
Filed under: uncultured bacterium
Lineage: Bacteria
Description: bacterial SSU rRNA
Rfam family: Bacterial small subunit ribosomal RNA
Source: RNAcentral
CUAGCUUGCUAGUAGACGUCGAGUGGCGGACGGGUGAGUAACGCGUAGGAAUCUGCCUGAUAGUGGGGGAUAGCCCGAAGAAAUUCGGAUUAAUACCGCAUAAUCUAUUCGUAGUAAAGUGGGGGACUUUCGAGCCUCACGCUAUCAGAUGAGCCUGCGUAAGAUUAGCUUGUUGGUAGGGUAAAAGCCUACCAAGGCAACGAUCUUUAGCUGGUCUGAGAGGAUGAUCAGCCACAUCGGGACUGAGACACGGCCCGAACUCCUACGGGAGGCAGCAGUGGGGAAUAUUGGACAAUGGGGGCAACCCUGAUCCAGCAAUACCGCGUGUGUGAAGAAGGCCUGAGGGUUGUAAAGCACUUUCAAUUGUGAAGAAAAGUUAACGGUUAAUAACCGUUGACCUUGACGUUAACUUUAGAAGAAGCACCGGCUAACUCCGUG